UUGUGUCAUUUGUUAAUGGUGAGACUGAUAAGUCACGGAGGACUUUGGUAUGUUCAGUAUUUAUUGUGCUUUUAAAAAAAAAAUCCAGGUACUUUUAUCCAGGUGAAAUAAUAGUAAUUUGUAGCAGUUGUUACAGGGUGGCCAAAUCGAUGUAACCGUCCACAUCCUUCUGUUUUUACCACGAUCACUAAUGCAAUACUGGUUGCAUAGGCAUUAUUGAGAGUGUAAAUAUUGGACCACCACAUUCUUCUCAUUGCCAUUUUUUUCUCCAGUUUUUCAUAAUAUGACAGUCAACUAACAUCAGACUCCAUUUGUACUCACUAUAUAACACCUGUGUCAUUGCAGAUCGAUGAAAUAUUAUUAAUAUUAUGAAAAACACCUCUGGGAAUUUAACUUGUGAUGUAAACUAUACUAACCCCUUUUAAAUGGGUUUGCAGUUUAUUUAAUGUUAAAGGAAACACUUUGAUAUUCUGAGUCUGCUCGUCAGUGAGACGUGUGAAGC
Long non-coding RNA from Salarias fasciatus (jewelled blenny), 502 nucleotides. RefSeq lists it as uncharacterized. The record is from RefSeq and is a predicted model, not a curated record. The transcript has 3 exons. NCBI's taxonomy places the organism in Eukaryota, Metazoa, Chordata, Actinopteri, Blenniiformes, Blenniidae.